AUUCAUUCUUCAAAAAUCAAUCUCUCUCUCUAUACUCUCCAAACAGUCGGCAUCCGGCGCCGAUCGGCCUUCUUCUCCGGCCAUUCAGUUGCCGCCGCGUUCUACAAAUCCGGCGAGUAGUCGUUCGUCCUCCUCCCUUCUCUCAUCAGUUACCACCCAGACCCGCCUCUCGCUCUCUCACGGCUCGGUUUCUUCCCCCCAUCUCUGACUCCGGCGAAGUCCAACAUCCGCCGCCGCUGUUGCGCCUGUAAUCGUCCACUGAAGUCGCCGCCGUCUGGAGUUGCCGCCACCGUCGCCAGCUGGAGCCUCGGCAGCCGCUGCCUCUCCUGGAAUUGCUGCCGUUGCUGCUGCUCUGGAGUUGGCGAGAGACGGCAGAACAGCUGCUGCCGAC
This 391-nucleotide long non-coding RNA is filed under the name Salvia miltiorrhiza (redroot sage). RNAcentral describes it as "long non-coding RNA (SMIL_LNC003875)". The record is from RNAcentral. Lineage: Eukaryota; Viridiplantae; Streptophyta; Magnoliopsida; Lamiales; Lamiaceae.